AGAGUUUGAUCAUGGCUCAGAACGAACGCUGGCGGCGUGGAUAAGACAUGCAAGUCGAGCGAGAUUUUUUCCUGUAGCAAUACAGGGAAAAGUCUAGCGGCGAACGGGUGCUUAACACGUGGGCAACCUGCCAAGAAGUGGGGGAUAGCUCGCCGAAAGGCGAAUUAAUACCGCAUGUGAUCAGGGUGGACAUCCAUUCGAAAUCAAAGUUGGGGCAACCUGACGCUUCUCGAGGGGCCCGCGGCCUAUCAGCUAGUUGGUGAGGUAACGGCCCACCAAGGCUUAGACGGGUAGCUGGUCUGAGAGGACGACCAGCCACACUGGGACUGAGACACGGCCCAGACACCUACGGGUGGCAGCAGUCGAGAAUUUUUCUCAAUGGGGGAAACCCUGAAGGAGCGACGCCGCGUGGAGGAUGAAGGUCCUCGGAUUGUAAACUCCUGUCAUUGGGGAACAAUGCGUAAAUAUUAACUGUAUUUACGUUGAUAGUACCCGAAGAGGAAGAGACGGCUAACUCUGUGCCAGCAGCCGCGGUAAUACAGAGGUCUCAAGCGUUGUUCGGAUUCAUUGGGCGUAAAGGGUGCGUAGGCGGCGCGGUAAGUCGGGUGUGAAAUCUCGGAGCUUAACUCCGAAACUGCAUUCGAUACUGCCGUGCUUGAGGACUGGAGAGGAGACUGGAAUUUACGGUGUAGCGGUGAAAUGCGUAGAUAUCGUAAGGAAGACCAGUGGCGAAGGCGGGUCUCUGGACAGUUCCUGACGCUGAGGCACGAAGGCCAGGGGAGCAAACGGAAUUAGAUACCCCCGUAGUCC
This 810-nucleotide ribosomal RNA is filed under the name uncultured bacterium. Its description in RNAcentral is "bacterial SSU rRNA". It matches the Rfam family "Bacterial small subunit ribosomal RNA", at positions 8 to 796 of the family's 1533-position model. The record is from RNAcentral.